UCCGACUUAGCUCAGUUGGUAGAGCAAGCGGCUGUUAACCGCUGGGUCGUAGGUUCGAGUCCUACAGUCGGAGCCA
Molecule: transfer RNA, 76 nt
Filed under: Nannocystis sp.
Lineage: Bacteria; Pseudomonadati; Myxococcota; Nannocystales; Nannocystaceae
Description: tRNA-Asn
Rfam family: tRNA
About the family: Transfer RNA (tRNA) molecules are approximately 80 nucleotides in length. Their secondary structure includes four short double-helical elements and three loops (D, anti-codon, and T loops).
Source: RNAcentral